RNAcentral lists this ribosomal RNA (2918 nucleotides) under Bacillus cereus G9241. RNAcentral's name for it is "bacterial LSU rRNA". It matches the Rfam family "Bacterial large subunit ribosomal RNA". The record is from RNAcentral. Lineage: Bacteria; Bacillati; Bacillota; Bacilli; Caryophanales; Bacillaceae.
UAAGUUAGAAAGGGCGCACGGUGGAUGCCUUGACACUAGGAGUCGAUGAAGGACGGGACUAACGCCGAUAUGCUUCGGGGAGCUGUAAGUAAGCUUUGAUCCGAAGAUUUCCGAAUGGGGAAACCCACCAUACGUAAUGGUAUGGUAUCCUUAUCUGAAUACAUAGGGUAAGGAAGACAGACCCAGGGAACUGAAACAUCUAAGUACCUGGAGGAAGAGAAAGCAAAUGCGAUUUCCUGAGUAGCGGCGAGCGAAACGGAACAUAGCCCAAACCAAGAGGCUUGCCUCUUGGGGUUGUAGGACAUUCUAUACGGAGUUACAAAGGAACGAGGUAGACGAAGCGACCUGGAAAGGUCCGUCGUAGAGGGUAACAACCCCGUAGUCGAAACUUCGUUCUCUCUUGAAUGUAUCCUGAGUACGGCGGAACACGUGAAAUUCCGUCGGAAUCUGGGAGGACCAUCUCCCAAGGCUAAAUACUCCCUAGUGAUCGAUAGUGAACCAGUACCGUGAGGGAAAGGUGAAAAGCACCCCGGAAGGGGAGUGAAAGAGAUCCUGAAACCGUGUGCCUACAAAUAGUCAGAGCCCGUUAACGGGUGAUGGCGUGCCUUUUGUAGAAUGAACCGGCGAGUUACGAUCCCGUGCGAGGUUAAGCUGAAGAGGCGGAGCCGCAGCGAAAGCGAGUCUGAAUAGGGCGUUUAGUACGUGGUCGUAGACCCGAAACCAGGUGAUCUACCCAUGUCCAGGGUGAAGUUCAGGUAACACUGAAUGGAGGCCCGAACCCACGCACGUUGAAAAGUGCGGGGAUGAGGUGUGGGUAGCGGAGAAAUUCCAAUCGAACCUGGAGAUAGCUGGUUCUCCCCGAAAUAGCUUUAGGGCUAGCCUUAAGUGUAAGAGUCUUGGAGGUAGAGCACUGAUUGGACUAGGGGUCCUCAUCGGAUUACCGAAUUCAGUCAAACUCCGAAUGCCAAUGACUUAUCCUUAGGAGUCAGACUGCGAGUGAUAAGAUCCGUAGUCAAAAGGGAAACAGCCCAGACCGCCAGCUAAGGUCCCAAAGUGUGUAUUAAGUGGAAAAGGAUGUGGAGUUGCUUAGACAACUAGGAUGUUGGCUUAGAAGCAGCCACCAUUUAAAGAGUGCGUAAUAGCUCACUAGUCGAGUGACUCUGCGCCGAAAAUGUACCGGGGCUAAAUACACCACCGAAGCUGCGGAUUGAUACCAAUGGUAUCAGUGGUAGGGGAGCGUUCUAAGGACAGUGAAGUCAGACCGGAAGGACUGGUGGAGUGCUUAGAAGUGAGAAUGCCGGUAUGAGUAGCGAAAGACGGGUGAGAAUCCCGUCCACCGAAUGCCUAAGGUUUCCUGAGGAAGGCUCGUCCGCUCAGGGUUAGUCAGGACCUAAGCCGAGGCCGACAGGCGUAGGCGAUGGACAACAGGUUGAUAUUCCUGUACCACCUCUUUAUCGUUUGAGCAAUGGAGGGACGCAGAAGGAUAGAAGAAGCGUGCGAUUGGUUGUGCACGUCCAAGCAGUUAGGCUGAUAAGUAGGCAAAUCCGCUUAUCGUGAAGGCUGAGCUGUGAUGGGGAAGCUCCUUAUGGAGCGAAGUCUUUGAUUCCCCGCUGCCAAGAAAAGCUUCUAGCGAGAUAAAAGGUGCCUGUACCGCAAACCGACACAGGUAGGCGAGGAGAGAAUCCUAAGGUGUGCGAGAGAACUCUGGUUAAGGAACUCGGCAAAAUGACCCCGUAACUUCGGGAGAAGGGGUGCUUUCUUAACGGAAAGCCGCAGUGAAUAGGCCCAAGCGACUGUUUAGCAAAAACACAGCUCUCUGCGAAGCCGUAAGGCGAAGUAUAGGGGGUGACACCUGCCCGGUGCUGGAAGGUUAAGGAGAGGGGUUAGCGUAAGCGAAGCUCUGAACUGAAGCCCCAGUAAACGGCGGCCGUAACUAUAACGGUCCUAAGGUAGCGAAAUUCCUUGUCGGGUAAGUUCCGACCCGCACGAAAGGUGUAACGAUUUGGGCACUGUCUCAACCAGAGACUCGGUGAAAUUAUAGUACCUGUGAAGAUGCAGGUUACCCGCGACAGGACGGAAAGACCCCGUGGAGCUUUACUGUAGCCUGAUAUUGAAUUUUGGUACAGUUUGUACAGGAUAGGCGGGAGCCUUUGAAACCGGAGCGCUAGCUUCGGUGGAGGCGCUGGUGGGAUACCGCCCUGACUGUAUUGAAAUUCUAACCUACGGGUCUUUUCGACCCGGGAGACAGUGUCAGGUGGGCAGUUUGACUGGGGCGGUCGCCUCCUAAAGUGUAACGGAGGCGCCCAAAGGUUCCCUCAGAAUGGUUGGAAAUCAUUCGUAGAGUGCAAAGGCAUAAGGGAGCUUGACUGCGAGACCUACAAGUCGAGCAGGGACGAAAGUCGGGCUUAGUGAUCCGGUGGUUCCGCAUGGAAGGGCCAUCGCUCAACGGAUAAAAGCUACCCCGGGGAUAACAGGCUUAUCUCCCCCAAGAGUCCACAUCGACGGGGAGGUUUGGCACCUCGAUGUCGGCUCAUCGCAUCCUGGGGCUGUAGUCGGUCCCAAGGGUUGGGCUGUUCGCCCAUUAAAGCGGUACGCGAGCUGGGUUCAGAACGUCGUGAGACAGUUCGGUCCCUAUCCGUCGUGGGCGUAGGAAAUUUGAGAGGAGCUGUCCUUAGUACGAGAGGACCGGGAUGGACGCACCGCUGGUGUACCAGUUGUUCUGCCAAGGGCAUAGCUGGGUAGCUAUGUGCGGAAGGGAUAAGUGCUGAAAGCAUCUAAGCAUGAAGCCCCCCUCAAGAUGAGAUUUCUCAUAGCGUAAGCUAGUAAGAUCCCUGAAAGAUGAUCAGGUUGAUAGGUUCGAGGUGGAAGCAUGGUGACAUGUGGAGCUGACGAAUACUAAUAGAUCGAGGACUUAACCA